This 484-nucleotide ribosomal RNA is filed under the name Bacillus subtilis. RNAcentral describes it as "bacterial SSU rRNA". It matches the Rfam family "Bacterial small subunit ribosomal RNA", at positions 75 to 545 of the family's 1533-position model. Lineage: Bacteria; Bacillati; Bacillota; Bacilli; Caryophanales; Bacillaceae. The record is from RNAcentral.
UGGACUUGCUCCCUGAUGUUACGGCGGACGGGUGAGUACACGUGGGUACCUGCCUGUAAGACUGGGAUAACUCCGGGAAACCGGGGCUAAUACCGGAUGGUUGUCUGAACCGCAUGGUUCAGACAUAAAAGGUGGCUUCGGCUACCACUUACAGAUGGACCCGCGGCGCAUUAGCUAGUUGGUGAGGUAACGGCUCACCAAGGCGACGAUGCGUAGCCGACCUGAGAGGGUGAUCGGCCACACUGGGACUGAGACACGGCCCAGACUCCUACGGGAGGCAGCAGUAGGGAAUCUUCCGCAAUGGACGAAAGUCUGACGGAGCAACGCCGCGUGAGUGAUGAAGGUUUUCGGAUCGUAAAGCUCUGUUGUUAGGGAAGAACAAGUGCCGUUCAAAUAGGGCGGCACCUUGGACGGUACCUAACCAGAAAGCCACGGCUAACUACGUGCCAGCAGCCGCGGUAAUACGUAGGUGGCAAGCGUUGUC